This 187-nucleotide RNase P RNA is filed under the name Mycoplasma ovis. Its description in RNAcentral is "partial ribonuclease P RNA". It matches the Rfam family "Bacterial RNase P class B", at positions 56 to 231 of the family's 365-position model. Rfam says of the family: Ribonuclease P (RNase P) is a ubiquitous endoribonuclease, found in archaea, bacteria and eukarya as well as chloroplasts and mitochondria. The record is from RNAcentral. Lineage: Bacteria; Bacillati; Mycoplasmatota; Mollicutes; Mycoplasmatales; Mycoplasmataceae.
AGUCUGAGAUGACUAUAGUGAUUGUGUGAGUAUAUAAGAAAUAAAACUCAACGACUAGUUCUACUAGUUGAUGGCGGAGAACUUUUCUAAAUAAGCCAAAGGCUUACAUGAGUAAUUCUCUGUAAAGUGCCACAGAGACGAGCUUUAUAGAAAUAUAGAGAGUGAAACGAGGCAAACCCCGCAAGUA